Molecule: transfer RNA, 74 nt
Filed under: Zea mays
Lineage: Eukaryota; Viridiplantae; Streptophyta; Magnoliopsida; Poales; Poaceae
Rfam family: tRNA
About the family: Transfer RNA (tRNA) molecules are approximately 80 nucleotides in length. Their secondary structure includes four short double-helical elements and three loops (D, anti-codon, and T loops).
Source: Rfam by way of RNAcentral
GCUUGUCUAGCUUAGUCGAUAAAGCACAAAGCUCUUAACCUUGUGGUCAUGGGUUUUAAGCCCCAUGGUGGGUG